UGAACAUCGUGCAUCUCUCCACAGCUCAUAUGCUGGGAGCUGGGUUCUCUGUGUGAUGGCAUCUGGAAGUGGGACAUUUAAGGGGCAGAACCUAGCGUGAUGUAGGAUCCUACCUGUGGAAUUAUCCCACCCACAUUCAAGGAGUGUUUUUACCCUGUGGUUAGUCUCCCAGGAAACACCUUCAGAAACAUACCCAGAAUUAUGCUCUACUAACUUCCCAGGCUCCUCUUAACCCGGGGUUCAGCACGUCCCUCUUGUGCGCCAACCACACACAUCAUGACAGACUGAAGGCAGAAGCGGGGAGAACUCAACUGUCUUCUAAUCCAGGCAUUAAAGAGAUUCACAAGUCUGUCAGGCCAUGCUGCUCCCCAUGCUCCGUGCUUUUGGAAAAUAGAGUUAGUUUUUUUUUUAAUUAAAAAUGUGUUAGUUAUAUAAGCUCGCAGUGGGCUUACUACUGUUAUCUUUUACAUUAUAUAAUGGACGGAUGUUUUUUAAAAUGUCUCAGCUGAAAAUGAUAAUAUAGUGAAUAUGGAAAAAUGUAACCCACACAGACAAAACUCUUUGGGGUUCCCAAAUUUUAGAAGUGCAGACAGAGCUCGGAGAGCAAAAUGUCUGAGAACUUUGGGGUCUAGGUAGGGAAGACUUCUGGACCAAGCUAACAAAUU
This is a long non-coding RNA of Peromyscus leucopus (white-footed mouse), 665 nucleotides long. RefSeq lists it as uncharacterized. NCBI's taxonomy places the organism in Eukaryota, Metazoa, Chordata, Mammalia, Rodentia, Cricetidae. The record is from RefSeq and is a predicted model, not a curated record. The transcript has 3 exons.